Molecule: ribosomal RNA, 309 nt
Filed under: uncultured bacterium
Lineage: Bacteria
Description: bacterial SSU rRNA
Rfam family: Bacterial small subunit ribosomal RNA
Source: RNAcentral
GAUGAACGCUAGCGGCAGGCCUAACACAUGCAAGUCGAGGGGUAACAGAGAGUGCUUGCACUUUGCUGACGACCGGCGCACGGGUGCGUAACGCGUAUAGAAUCUACCUUAUACUGAGGGAUAGCCUUUGGAAACGAAGAUUAACACCUCAUAGUAUGUAUAAAUGGCAUCAUUUAUACAUUAAAGGUUACGGUAUAAGAUGACUAUGCGUCCUAUUAGCUAGAUGGUGUGGUAACGGCACACCAUGGCAACGAUAGGUAGGGGCCCUGAGAGGGGGAUCCCCCACACUGGUACUGAGACACGGACCAG